GAUGAACGCUGGCGGCGUGCCUAAUACAUGCAAGUCGAGCGAACAGACGAGGAGCUUGCUCCUCUGACGUUAGCGGCGGACGGGUGAGUAACACGUGGAUAACCUACCUAUAAGACUGGGAUAACUUCGGGAAACCGGAGCUAAUACCGGAUAAUAUAUUGAACCGCAUGGUUCAAUAGUGAAAGACGGUUUUGCUGUCACUUAUAGAUGGAUCCGCGCCGCAUUAGCUAGUUGGUAAGGUAACGGCUUACCAAGGCAACGAUGCGUAGCCGACCUGAGAGGGUGAACGGCCACACUGGAACUGAGACACGGUCCAGACUCCUACGGGAGGCAGCAGUAGGGAAUCUUCCGCAAUGGGCGAAAGCCUGACGGAGCAACGACGCGUGAGUGAUGAAGGUCUUCGGAUCGUAAAACUCUGUUAUUAGGGAAGAACAAAUGUGUAAGUAACUAUGCACGUCUUGACGGUACCUAAUCAGAAAGCCACGGCUAACUACGUG
RNAcentral lists this ribosomal RNA (497 nucleotides) under uncultured bacterium. RNAcentral's name for it is "partial 16S ribosomal RNA". It matches the Rfam family "Bacterial small subunit ribosomal RNA", at positions 28 to 507 of the family's 1533-position model. The record is from RNAcentral.